GGAGAUGAGGAAGAGGAGCAGCCCUGAAUUCCUGCUGGGAGCCUGAGGAUGCAGCUGGAUCCUGGAUCCUGCCCUGGGGACGCUCAGGCCUCCUUCAGCUGAUAUUUUACACCUGUUCAAAACUCUGCUGCUCCUCAGGGAGCUCAGAAUUUGUCUAAAAAGGACAAAAAAAUGGCUGGUUUCGUGUUUAGAUAGCUCAGAAUUGUCUAAAAAGGACAAGGAAAGCUGAUUUCAUGUUUAGGUAGCUCAGAUUUUCUUUAAAAAGGACAAAAAAAGUCUGAUUUCAUUAUUUAGGUAGCUCAGAAUUCUCUAAAAAGGACAAAAAAAGGCUGAUUUCAUUAUUUAGGUUGCUCAGAAUUUGUCUAAAAAGGACAAGGAAGGCUGAUUUCAUGUUUAGAUAGCUCAGAUUUUCUUUAAAAAGGAGAAAAAAAGGCUGAUUUCAUGUUUAGAUAGCUCAGAAUUGCCUAAAAAGGAACAAAAAAAGGCUGAUUUCAUGUUUAGAUAGCUCAGAAUUGCCUAAAAAGGAACAAAAAAAGGCUGAUUUCAUGUUUAGGUAGCUCAGAAUUCUCUAAAAAGGACAAGGAAGGCUGAUUUCAUGUUUAGGUAGCUCAGAAUUGUCUAAAAAGAACAAAAAAGGCUGAUUUCACGUUUAGAUAGCUCAGAUUUUGUUUAAAAAGGACAAAAAAAGGCUGAUUUCAUUAUUUAGGUAGCUCAGAAUUGCCUAAAAAGGAUUUAAAAAAGGCUGAUUUCAUGUUUAGAUAGCUCAGAAUUGUCUAAAAAGGAACAAAAAAAGGCUGAUUUCAUGUUUAGAUAGCUCAGAAUUGUCUAAAAAGGAACAAAAUGCUCCUUUGGAAAACCCUCCUUGUGCAGGGCCACAGGCAGGAAUGGGAGGACACAAAUUUUAGUUUUUAAGUGGCUUUGCAGCUGUGAAAUCCAGGAAAAAUCCCAUUGAAUCUCACAUUUAAAUUCCCCAAAAAAAUCUGUUUAAAAAGGCUUGACCUCAUGAUCCAGCAGGUUUUUAUUGGCACACAUUUAAUGACAGCUUAAUUAACCUCUGAAAGGUGAAUUUUGGGGGUUAUCAGGCUGCAGAAUCCUCAGGCAAAGGUUUUUUUUCCAGUCCUUGAAUCCUUCCCAUGUUGUGUGUGCAGCUGGAGCUGGCUCUGAGUUGUGUUCUUAAGGAGAUAUUCUCAUUAAAUAAAGGAAUAUCACAUCAAUACUGAAUUUAAUUAAGUAACACAUAAGGAAAUUAGUCCAAUCUGCACUUAAUUGGCAUUCAGGUUUUGGUUAAAAUAAAUAACUUUCCUCCAAGCCAAUAAAAAUUUUAGUUAAAUUAAGAAUAAAUAUUUAUAAUAAAUAAAUAAAUAUUUAUUUAUAAUAAAUAUUUAUUUAUUUAUUUAUAAUAUAUAAAUAUUAUUUAUUAUAACAAAUAAAUAAAUACCAAGAUCUGGUGGGUCAGAAUUCGUGGGGAAUUCAUUUUUACAUCCCUGUUUUACAUUACAUUUUUACAAUGUAAAAUUUACAUUUUUACAUUUAACCUUUGCCUUUUAAUUUUUUUUUUUCCUUUGCCUUUUUUAAAAUCAAAGCAGUAUUUAAAAGAAAAGGUGGAUAAACAGCAGUUUCUGUGCUGCAAAAGCUGAAAUAUCUGAUUGAAUGUGAAGUGCUAAAUGGGUUUAGUUCCUGCAAAAUCACUCAGAAUCUCAAGUGUGACGAGUAACAAUUAGGACUGGUCAAAAUUUGGUCAAAAAUAGUCAAAAUUGGGUCAAAAAUAGUCAAAAUUGGGUAAAAAAUAGUCAAAAUUUGGUCAAAAAUAGUUAAAAUUUCAGGUUUUCAGAGAGGGGAAUCCCAAAACUGGGCUCAGAUUCUGUGACAGGAGAUUUUUCUGCCAGAACUCAUCAGGCCAAAGUGUGGGAUCAAGCUGAGAACGCAGGGAGCAGCUGGAUUGUCAAACCAAAGAAGUGUUUUUUCCUUCAAGAACUCCAUUUUUAUCGUGUUCAGGGGUUCACAGGUACCUGUGUCAAUAUUUCCUCUGCUUUAAACUUGAAUCUGCUCUGCCCUGGGGUCAAGCCAGGAGCCAGCUGGAUCCUUCCUGCUUUUCCUCCUGCUCCUGCUGGGGUUGGUGCCACGUUCUUUUAAAUCCUCCUGCUUUUACAGCAUUUUUUAGAUGUGGUGCUGAAUCCCAGGGCUGGUCCCAGCUGCUGGGGGAUUUUAAUGGGAUUUUUGGGGUCACUUUUCCCACUGGCAGUGGGCACUGGGGAUUCCUGAGCUCUGGAAUCAGGAAUUCUGGAAUUCAGGAGCUCUGGGUCCUGCCUUUGGCUCUGCAGGUGAGCAGGGACAUCCUCCAGCCAUCCCAAAUGCCACCUGCAGCUGGGAUGGCUGGAUUUGGGAAUUCCUGAAGGUGUUUUCCAGACAGAUGUUUCCCCCUGAGGGCAGUGAUCCCAAGCAGGGUUCUCUCCCAGGAACAGGGGAAAGCACAGCAAGCCUAUGCUGAAAUUUGAAUUAAUGAAAUUUGAAUUCAUGAAAUUUGAAUUCAUGAAAUUUGAAUUCAUGAAAUCUAUUCUACUAAUCCCAUCUGUGUUGGGAAGGAGCUGCAAAAAGGGGAUCAGCCAGUGGAAAGGGAACUGCCCUCAUCUCCAGCCAUCCCAAUCACCUCUUCCUUGCAGAAUUCCAGCCUGGAUUGGGAAUUAAAGCUGUUCCAGCAGCUCCACCUGGGGCACCUUCCCCUGUCCCAGCUGCUCCAGCCCCAGUGUCCAGCCUGGCCCUGGGCACUGCCAGGGAUCCAGGGGCUGCUCUGGGCACCUGUGCCAGGCUCUGCCCACCCUGCACCUGCAGAAAUUCACAUUUCAGCCCCGUUCUGUGGGAAUCAGCCCCGGGUGGAACCCCUGGAGCUGCUCCCUGCAUUCACAUCCAGCUGUUCCCACAGCUGCCCUGGCCUCUCCAGCUGAAUAAAAACCACAUUUAACUCUCACAGACACCUCAUUCUCCCCCAGUUUUGUCCCAAAUGGGAAUCAGACGCUCCUGGAUAAAUUCCAAAGCCAACUUUUCCUCCUGGAUGUGAUUCCUUGCUCCGUGUUUUCCAGCAGGGCAAGGAGAGCUUUUUUCAAACCAGUCAGGCUGGAAACAAAUUGGGGUUUAAUUGUCUGCUCCACUGAAGGCUUUUAAUGGUGAUAUUUUUUUAAAUAGAUGCGUUUGUAAUUUAUUUUGGGAUUUUCCAGGAUCAUAAAGCUGGCACAGGCUGGGGCAGUGAAUAUUCCUUUAAAGCAGAUUUGUGUCAAAUCUGCAGUGGAACCACAGAGAUAUUUUUCUAUGCCUUGUAGAACUCUGAAAUUUUGUUUUCUUGAUGAAAAAAUAGAGAAAGUUUCUAUUUCCUACUGCUGUGGUUUGUACACAGAAUAACCAGAGUGAUGCUUUAUUUACCUGUACAUAGAGAGAAAGGCCCCUGGCCUGUUUUUAAUUCAGGUUUAAAGGAUCUAAUUCUUAUUUUUAACUUUGUGUUUUGUAAAUUGUUCCUUACAAAAGCAGAAGCAUUAAACAGCACUUUGGCUGCA
Molecule: long non-coding RNA, 3545 nt
Organism: Poecile atricapillus (Black-capped chickadee)
Lineage: Eukaryota; Metazoa; Chordata; Aves; Passeriformes; Paridae
Exons: 2
Source: RefSeq, a predicted model, not a curated record